NNGAUCGUCUAGUUGGUUAGGAUGAUGCAUUGUGGCUGCAUUGACGGCAGUUCGAAUCCGCCUCGGAGCA
RNAcentral lists this transfer RNA (70 nucleotides) under Verticillium alfalfae VaMs.102. Its description in RNAcentral is "tRNA-His (GTG) (tRNA-His-GTG-3-1)". It matches the Rfam family "tRNA". Rfam says of the family: Transfer RNA (tRNA) molecules are approximately 80 nucleotides in length. Their secondary structure includes four short double-helical elements and three loops (D, anti-codon, and T loops). The record is from RNAcentral. Lineage: Eukaryota; Fungi; Ascomycota; Sordariomycetes; Glomerellales; Plectosphaerellaceae.